Molecule: non-coding RNA, 118 nt
Filed under: uncultured Fusicatenibacter sp.
Lineage: Bacteria; Bacillati; Bacillota; Clostridia; Lachnospirales; Lachnospiraceae
Description: FMN riboswitch (RFN element)
Rfam family: FMN riboswitch aptamer (RFN element)
About the family: The RFN element is a highly conserved domain that is found frequently in the 5'-untranslated regions of prokaryotic mRNAs that encode for flavin mononucleotide (FMN) biosynthesis and transport proteins.
Source: RNAcentral
AUCUUCAGGGCGGGGUGCAAGUCCCCACUGGCGGUAUAGUCCGCGACCUGUGGCAGAAAGCCACGGCUGAUCCGGUGAAAGUCCGGUACCAACAGUUACAGUCUGGAUGGAAGAAGAG